ACACAUGCAGUCGAGCGGAUGAAAGGAGCUUGCUCCUGGAUUCAGCGGCGGACGGGUGAGUAAUGCCUAGGAAUCUGCCUGGUAGUGGGGGACAACGUUUCGAAAGGAACGCUAAUACCGCAUACGUCCUACGGGAGAAAGCAGGGGACCUUCGGGCCUUGCGCUAUCAGAUGAGCCUAGGUCGGAUUAGCUAGUUGGUGAGGUAAUGGCUCACCAAGGCGACGAUCCGUAACUGGUCUGAGAGGAUGAUCAGUCACACUGGAACUGAGACACGGUCCAGACUCCUACGGGAGGCAGCAGUGGGGAAUAUUGGACAAUGGGCGAAAGCCUGAUCCAGCCAUGCCGCGUGUGUGAAGAAGGUCUUCGGAUUGUAAAGCACUUUAAGUUGGGAGGAAGGGUUGUAGAUUAAUACUCUGCAAUUUUGACGUUACCGACAGAAUAAGCACCGGCUAACUCUGUGCCAGCAGCCGCGGUAAUACAGAGGGUGCAAGCGUUAAUCGGAAUUACUGGGCGUAAAGCGCGCGUAGGUGGUUCGUUAAGUUGGAUGUGAAAUCCCCGGGCUCAACCUGGGAACUGCAUCCAAAACUGGCGAGCUAGAGUAUGGUAGAGGGUGGUGGAAUUUCCUGUGUAGCGGUGAAAUGCGUAGAUAUAGGAAGGAACACCAGUGGCGAAGGCGACCACCUGGGACUGAUACUGACACUGAGGUGCGAAAGCGUGGGGAGCAAACAGGAUGUA
RNAcentral lists this ribosomal RNA (735 nucleotides) under Pseudomonas fluorescens. Its description in RNAcentral is "bacterial SSU rRNA". It matches the Rfam family "Bacterial small subunit ribosomal RNA", at positions 51 to 781 of the family's 1533-position model. Lineage: Bacteria; Pseudomonadati; Pseudomonadota; Gammaproteobacteria; Pseudomonadales; Pseudomonadaceae. The record is from RNAcentral.